Molecule: ribosomal RNA, 253 nt
Filed under: uncultured bacterium
Lineage: Bacteria
Description: partial 16S ribosomal RNA
Rfam family: Bacterial small subunit ribosomal RNA
Source: RNAcentral
UACGUAGGGGGCUAGCGUUGUCCGGAAUCAUUGGGCGUAAAGAGCGUGUAGGCGGCCCGGUAAGUCCGCUGUAAAAGUCAAAGGCUCAACCUUUGAAUGUCAGUGGAUACUGUCGGGCUAGAGUCCGGAAGAGGCGAGUGGAACUCCUGGUGUAGCGGUGGAAUGCGCAGAUAUCAGGAAGAACACCAACGGCGAAGGCAGCUCGCUGGGACGGUACUGACGCUGAGACGCGAAAGCGUGGGGAGCGAACAGG